UUUCCCCGUAGAGACUAUAUUUUCUAUUUUUCUGCUCAUCCUUAAAUGGAUUUAACUUUGGUUUCUCUCAUUGUGAAAGCAAACUUACAGCUUCCAGGAUGAUGAAGCUGCUGACCAUUUCCGCUCGUGAUCGAUCUUUUCAGCUGCCAGUUUGCCGUGCAUAUUUUAAGCUCGUCGACUGACGUUUACACGUCGCGUAGUACUUGCACAACUCGUCCUUCUUCAAGAGGUCUUAUGUUCGAACCCGAGAGUAUUGUGAUUCAAAUUACUAUCUUAAGUCCACACAUAAAGGAGAGGUUAAAGAUACAUUUAUAAGAUCUUGGUUUUGUUUGGUUGCCUCUUCUGCAAAUUUGUACUUCUAACACUAUCCAAACAACCAUUGAACUUGUUCAU
This is a long non-coding RNA of Cucurbita maxima (winter squash), 393 nucleotides long. RefSeq lists it as uncharacterized. The record is from RefSeq and is a predicted model, not a curated record. Lineage: Eukaryota; Viridiplantae; Streptophyta; Magnoliopsida; Cucurbitales; Cucurbitaceae. The transcript is spliced from 2 exons.